RNAcentral lists this transfer RNA (77 nucleotides) under Paenibacillus psychroresistens. Its description in RNAcentral is "tRNA-Met". It matches the Rfam family "tRNA". From Rfam's summary of the family: Transfer RNA (tRNA) molecules are approximately 80 nucleotides in length. Their secondary structure includes four short double-helical elements and three loops (D, anti-codon, and T loops). Lineage: Bacteria; Bacillati; Bacillota; Bacilli; Caryophanales; Paenibacillaceae. The record is from RNAcentral.
GGCGGCGUAGCUCAGCUGGCUAGAGCGUUCGGUUCAUACCCGAAAGGUCGGGGGUUCGAGUCCCUCCACCGCUACCA